Orcinus orca (killer whale) is the source of this 5644-nucleotide long non-coding RNA. RefSeq lists it as uncharacterized. The transcript is spliced from 3 exons. Lineage: Eukaryota; Metazoa; Chordata; Mammalia; Artiodactyla; Delphinidae. The record is from RefSeq and is a predicted model, not a curated record.
UCUGUCCUUUCGUCUCUAUGGCCCGAGGGUGGGAGGUCUUCCGGGAACGUUCCGAGCAUUUGUCUGGCCUGAGUCUUUUGACCCUCCGGCCUUACGAGGUUCCAGUUUUUCCCUUCCACACGGAAGAGAUUAUCAUCAGUGGUAAACUGAAGCACAGAGAAGUCAAGCCACUUGCCUGAAGUCACACAGUUGGCAAAUACUGAGUCUGGGAUUCAGGCAUAAACCGUUAAGGACUGGAGAACGGGAGAGGAGACAAGAGUGAGAGCAUUUUGGAGAGCAGAAAGCAGAUGGGUUAAUCGGCAGAACUGAGAAAACCCAAUCCUCCGGCAGCAGAGGGGAAAGUCAAAGCCAACCUGAUUUAUCCCCCAAAAUCCCUCCCAAAGGCUCGGGAAUUGGUGGUACCAAUUCCUGAAAGUAAAAUUGGGGAUAGGAGUGGGCAGCAGAGAGGAGGAUGUGAAAUAAAGGAAAUUCCCUAAAAGUCUGUUUGAGGAGCAGUCAGAUUUGCAGAUCCUCCCAGCCCCCGCCCGACUCUAGGUAACUGGCCACCUACCUCUGCAAAAGUCUGCAGGUUUAUUCUUUGGAGACAGUAACACAGAGUAUCUGGGCUUGGGGACCCCAGCAUGUUUUCAGGCAGAGGUACUAUAUUGAAAACAGGAGGAUUAAGUGAAAUCUUGUGUUUAGUUCCCCGGGACUGCUGUAACAAAUUACCACAAACUGUGUGGCUUCAAACAAUAGAAGCGUAUUCUUUCAUAGUUCUGGAGGCCAGAAGGCUGAAAUCAAAAUGUCAGCAGGGCCAUCCUCCUUCCGGAGGCUCUGGGAGAGAAUCCAUCCCUUGUCUCUUCCAGCUUUUGGUGUCUGUCGGCAUUCCUUGGCUUGUGGACAUAUCUCUUUCUGCUCUGUUUUCACAUUGUCUUCUCCUCCACGCUUCUCAUCUCCCACUGCCUCUCUCUUAUAAGGACACUUUUGAUGGUACUUAGGGCCCACCUGAAUAAUCCAGAACUAUCUCCUCAUCUCAAGAGCCUUAACUUAAUCACAGCUACAAAGAACCUUUUUCACAAAUGAGAUACCAUUCACAGGUUCCAGGAAUUUAACAUGGAUAUACUUUUGGGGGCUGUUUUGGGGCCUGCACGCUGAGAUAUCCUAUUCCAGUCCUUUGCCACAUCUGCAGGGCUGGCCCCAUUGCUCACAUCCAGAGGCCAGGCAAAUUGUAUGUAGUGGUCUUUCCCAGGCCAUUCCAUUCCAGGUAGGAGACUGGAAGAAUCUUCUCCAGAAAAUCUGGCUAGACUCAGAGGAAUCACCUAAAGAUAUUUUAACAUCAGGGGGGUUCCCAACUGACACUGACAGUUCAGUGUCAACAGCCCACUUCCCAAUAUAUACAAUGAUCAGCUUCUUGGUCCCCUACUCUUAAAUAUGAGCAGAAAAUCAAGAAAUAUCAGACAUCUGAGCGUACCCUCUUAAAUGAAAAAUCGAGAACAAAGCAAAUAGAGAAAAGUAACUAAAGAAAACAGACAAUGCAGGAAGGAAAAAAAAACUAAAAAAAAAUCAAAAACAACUUUUCAGAGAGUUACCCUGAAGCAAGAACAAGAUGCUAUUAAAAAUAGGAAUAUUUUGAGAACAAAGAGGGCUUCUUGGAAAUUAAAAGCAGAGAUAUUAAAAAUUUAAUAAAAGAGAUGGAAGAUAAAUGUGAGAGUUUGUCUCAGAAAGUAGGACAAAAAGACAAAGAUAGAAAAUAGGAGAGAAAAGAUACAUUGUUUCAGGGACCGGUCUAAAAAAUCCCACAUUUGAAAAAUAGGCAUUUUAUCGAGAAAGAAGAGAAACAGGGUGGGGUGGGGGAAUCAUCAAUAAAAUAAUUCACAAAAAUUCUCCAAAACUAAAGGACAUGUGUUUCCAGAUUGAAAGUGUUUACUGAGUGCCCAGCAUGCUGGAGAAAAAUAGGUCCAUAGCAAGGCACAUCAUUGUGAAAUUUUGAAAUACCAAGAACUAAUUUGUGAAGAGAAGGAGAAAUAGGUCACUUCAAAGUAUCAAGAGCAGAAUAACUUUGGACUUCUCCACCAAAAUUCAGACAUAAGAAGGUAGUGGAUUAAUGCCUUCAAAAUUCUGAGGGAAAAUGAUUUCCAACAUAGAAUUCUAUACCCAGCCAAACAAUCAUCAAGGGAGCAGAUAGAAUAAAACCAUUUUCAGAUAUGGGAAGUUGAAAAUUUUCUACUUCCCACACACCCUUUCUCAGGGACUUACUGGAGGCUGAACUUUUUGGCUACACCAAAAAGGGUGUGUGUUUGUGGUGAGACAAGGAAGAACAAGACACAGGAAACAGAAACACAGCACAGGGGAGAAGCAGGUGGAAUCCCCAGAUGAUGGUGAACGGACAUCCUAGGAUGACAGCUGUGCACCAGAGUCGGUAACAGGUUAGAUUCCAGCAGGUCUGAAGACUCCAGGGAGAUUUCUUUAAGAAGGUGAACACAUAGAGUUUCUGAGGCAUUAGAAGGAGUUGAGAGGAUACUUGCACCACUGGCAAAGAGUUUGGAGUUGAUAACAAAUACUGAGAAAAUUAGGUCAGCUUGGGUGGGGUCAGAGAACAAGACAAUAAUCAACUUUAAAAAAAAAACAAAAGUGGGACUCCCCUGGUGGCACAGUGGUUAAGAAUCUGCCUGCCAAUGCAGGGGACACGGGUUCGAGCCCUGGUCCGGGAAGAUCCCACAUGUCAUGGAGCAACUAAGCCCAGGUGCCACAACUACUGAGCCUGCGCUCUAGAGCCCGUGCUCCACAAGUGAAGCCACCGCAAUGAGAAGCCCACACACUGCAACGAAGAGUAGCCCACACUCACCGCAACUGGAGAAAGCCUGCGUGCAGCAGCAAAGACCCAAUGCAGCAAAAAACAAAAUAAAUAAAUAAACUAAAAAAACAAAACCAAACAAACAAUAUAAAAAACAAAAACGCUGUGGGGAAAAGCAAAAGGACAUCAUAGUUUACCAUGGUGCUCAGUGGUGAAUGUCACAAUUAUGUAAUUAGUAAAUAUUGAUCUCACCAAAAUUACCAUAUACCUAUCAUGAGAGGAUGGGGGAGUGGGAAGGGCAUAUACAUAUGUGCUGGGGCCAAGUGUAGGGAAGGAAAGAGAGCAGAACCCUCAGAUCCUAGAGAGGGAAAGCAGUUCUGAAAACUGAAAAAUUUAGAAGUGGCAAUCAAUAGAAGCAUGUUAUUUAGAGACAUGGAAUUAAAUAUAAAAAAUUUAGCUUAAAGUAGUUGAAGUCAUUGCCUUUGGGGAGGGGGAAAUGGGAGGAAGAAGUGAAGUGGGGACUUCUGCUUUUAGAAUAUUUGACUUUUCAAUUCAUGUAUAACCUUGAUAAAAUAAAAUCUAAAACCAAAAAAUAAAAAAGGACAGGCAUACCAGAUAUUAAAAUGUUGUUUUGAUAAUGGCUGUCUCUGCAUUGUGGACCAUGGAUAAUUUCCCCCCUUUUUCUUACUUGUCAUUAUUUUAAUAAUUUUUGUCUGCAAAUAACAUAUGGCAUGAAGUGAGAAAAAAAAUAUUUUUUAAAGGGAGAAAGAAAAAAAGAUCUGCCCAGAGGCAGCCUGGAAACCAGUGUUUCCAUCUGUCACCAGGUCUCAAAGUGAGGAGAGUGAAAAGGAUACAAAGGUGAUGCGGGGUGGGCAGGGAAGGAAGAAUUGACAGAGCUUGGUGACUCACAGAAUAGGGAGGUGAGGCAGUGUCACAGAGAGAAAUAUCAAAAUAACCAUGGCCUUGACUUCCUGUUUUUAAAUAAAUAUGACAAGCUGGCAUAUUUCUAGUUUGUGAAAGAUGACUGAAUGUUCCUAGUCACAGCACGGUGUCAAAGGGUGUUACUUACGAAUACAUUUUAUGCUUCUACUUUUACUCACCUGCUAUUUACUUUACAUAGCAGUCCAAGUGAUCCUGUUUAAGCAUUCAUCAGAUCACAUUACUCUUUUGCUCAAAACCAUCCCAUGGCCCCUCAUUUUACUGUGAACAAAACCCAAAGUCCUCUUAGUUAUCUAUAGUGCCCAGUUUGGUCUGCCUCUUGCCCCUGCAGCGGUCUCUGACCUUCUCUUGUACCUUUUCCUCUGCACCCCAACUCAGUGGGCUUCAACUCAUUGAAUGUGGCAAGCUCAUCCCCAGCUCAGCACCUUGCACAGGCUGAUCCUUCAUUUCCCUUCCUCUAGAUAUUUAUAUAGUACCUCCUAGUCAUAAUUCAGGUUCCAUCACAAAUGUCACUUCCUCAGAGGGGCCUUCAGGAACCACUCUGCCUGCUUACCCCAGCCAGCUACUAUCUCUUGCAACAUUUUACUUUCUUGUCUUCAAUGCACAUAUCACCAUGUGAAAUUAUCCUGGUUUUCUCUUUUUAAAAUGUUUUAAAAUUAUUGUUGAGAUAUAAUUCAUUUAACAUAAAAUUCAGCAUUCAAAAGCAUACAAUUCAAUGGCUUUUAAUCUAUUUAUUAUGUUGUACAACCAUCACCACUGUCUGAUUCCCAAACGUUUCCAUCACCCCAACAAGAAACCCUGUACCUGUUAGCAGUCACUCUCCCCUGCCCCCAUCCCUGGCAGUAGAAACCAACCUACUUUCUGUCUCUAUGGAUUAACUAUUCUGAACAUUUCAUAUAAAUAGAAUCAUAUACGUGGCCUUUUUGUGUCUGCCUUCUUUCACUUAUCAUAAUAUUCUGUUUCUUAUAAAAAUUUGCUUCCUUAUUAUCUAUCAUCCCCUUUAGACCCUCAGAAGCUCUAAUACCUAGAAUAGUGCCAGUAUACGUCAUUAAAUAUGGAUUAAGCACCUAUUAGGUGUUAUGCACACAGUAGCACAAAAAAUCCUCUCCAAGGAAACUCUCUCUAAUCUUUAUUUUUUCCUAAGUAGUCUUCAAGUCUUCCCUCAUGCAUCCCCAAGGAGGGUGAUGGGCCAAGACUUAGUAAGCUGGUUUGGGGAAGUCUCCCCAUUCUUGGCCCAGCAGACACGAUCCAGCUCUCUCCAGAAAGGGACACCUCACACCAGCACAGAGGCCCCAACCAAGACUGAAACAAAAGAUAAGUCCCAACUGAGCACCAGUUACUAAGGGGUUUCCCUGUCCCUUUGGUUCUUAUUCAAGACAAAUCUGUGUGACAGUUAAGAUAGUCACCUUAAAUAAAAAGUGGAAGGGACCAUGGGACAAGGAAUACGGGAAGCAUCUAACUGCACAGAGAAUAGCCUCCAUGACCAAAAAGCAAGGAAAUCAGGACCUCAGUCCUACAACCACAAGGAACUGAAUUCUGCCAACAACCUAAAUGAGCCUGGAAGUGGAUUCUUCCCAGAGCCUCCAGAUAAGGAUUUAGACAGGCUGCUGUCUAGACUUCAGCCUGUGAGACCCUGAGCAUGGAACACAGCAGAGCCUGCAUGGACUUAGGACCUAAGAACUCUGAGCUGGAUGUAGUUUAAAAGACGAAAAAGGGCUUCCCUGGUGGCACAGUGGUUGAGAGUCCACCUGCCGAUGCAGGGGACACGGGUUCGUGCCCUGGUCCGGGAAGAUCCCACAUGCCGCAGAGCGGCUGCGCCCAUGAGCCAUGGCCGCUGAGCCUGUGCGUCUGGAGCCUGUGCUCUGCAACGGGAGAGGCCACAACAGUGAGAGGCCCGUGUACCGCAAAAAAAAAAAAAAAAAAAAGAUAUUC